This 5390-nucleotide long non-coding RNA is filed under the name Vitis vinifera (wine grape). RNAcentral describes it as "long non-coding RNA (VVIN_LNC007484)". The record is from RNAcentral. Lineage: Eukaryota; Viridiplantae; Streptophyta; Magnoliopsida; Vitales; Vitaceae.
CUACCUGAUGGAAUGAUGAUUAACAGUUGUGCCCUUGAGCAGGUGGAAAUUAAAGAUUGUCCAUCUCUUAUUGGCUUUCCGAAAGGGGAGCUACCUGUCACCCUUAAGAAGCUGAUAAUUGAAAAUUGUGAGAAACUAGAGUCUCUACCUGAGGGAAUUGACAACAACAACACUUGUCGUCUUGAAUAUCUAAGUGUAUGGGGAUGUCCAUCUCUCAAGUCCAUUCCGAGAGGCUACUUUCCCUCCACACUUGAGACGCUUACCAUUUGGAACUGCGAGCAAUUGGAGUCGAUUCCAGGGAAUCUGCUGGAAAAUCUCACAUCUCUUCGACUUCUGACAAUAUGUAAUUGUCCAGAUGUGGUGUCCUCUCCAGAAGCGUUUUUGAACCCCAACCUUAAACGACUUUUUAUUUCAAAUUAUGGGAAUAUGAGGUGGCCUCUAUCUGGGUGGGGCCUCCGCACACUCACCUCACUUGAUGAGCUCGGGAUUCAAGGCCCAUUCCCAGAUCUGCUUUCUUUUUCCGGCUCUCACCCACUUCUUCCUACAUCUCUCACCUAUCUCGCGUUGGUAAAUCUCCACAACUUGAAAUCCGUAACCUCAAUGGGUCUCCGAAGCCUAAUGUCUCUUAAAAGCCUUGAAUUCUACCUUUGCCCUAAGCUCCGGUCUUUUGUGCCAAAGGGAGGGCUACCACCAACACUUGCAAGACUUGUAAUCCGGGAGUGUCCUAUUCUAAAAAAGAGGUGCCUCAAGGGCAAAGGAAAUGAUUGGCCCAAGAUUGGCCACAUCCCCUAUGUGGAAAUAGAUGAGAUUGUACAACAAUAACAGCUUCAAUCAGGUACUCCCAAUUCUUUGUAAUCUUCCAUCAAAGGUUCUACUUACUUAUUGCUGCUUUCUCUGUAAUAUUUGAGUCUCCCUUUUGUUCCGUAAUCAGGGGCUGCCGUGGUCGACAAUAAGUUGUGGAGUUUUGUGCUCAAAACCUCGACUCUCAUGAAUGUGCCCUUAGCUUUUUCCUUAUUUUUCCAAAGGAAGGUCCCUACCCUCUUCCAAAACAGAGGUACUUAUUAAUGCAUUGAAUUGUAAGUUUUGAUAGAACACAAUUUUCACCAUUUUCAACUAAAAAUAUGGCUUUCAUUUUCUGAUAAUGAUGGAAUUUGUGCUGCACAUUGAUGUAGAUGAAAGCAAAAUUUCUGGCCAUUGGUGCAGCUUAUUUGCAAGGGGAAAUAUCCUAAACAUGAAAGAGUUGUACUAAAUGCACCAUUCUUUUUUCAUUUCAGGGUUUACACUUGCAAUUCCAGUCUCCACUGUCAAUUGUUUUUGGUAAUCAGGUCCAAAAGUAGUUUUAAGGCCCUAUUAAAUUUGGCACCAACUUCAUUUCCUACCAAGGGAUGGUCAGUUUUAGGGCCCAACUUCAUUUCCUACAAAAAGCUAAACAGUUUUGUGCUCAAAAACUCACCUCUCUUGAUUGUGUUCUUAGCUUGUUCCUUAUUUUCUUAAGAAAGGCCUUCCUACCAUAGUUUAAUAACUGGAUAUUUGGCACUUUCGACUCAAAAUAUUGCUUUCAAUUUCCAAUAAUGAUGUCUUGUACAUAUAGGAUGGCAGGAAAAAGGAUUGAUGUAGAUAAAAGGGAAAUUUCCUGCCAUUGAUGCACCUUAUUCAUAUCUGCAAGGGGAAAUGCCCUACACAUGAAAGGAGCUGUAAUAAAUGCACCAUUCUUUUUUAAUCUUGGGGUUUACAUGUGAUUCCAGUUUCAUCUGUACAAUUUUUUGCUAAUCAGGUCCAAAAGAAAUUUUAAGGCCCUAUCAAAUGUGGCACCAACUUCACUUCCUACCAAGGGAUGGGCAGCUUGGCAAACUUGCAGAACCUAACCCACAACAAGAGGCCUUAUAUCUGGUGCUUCAUUUUGCUUAAAGCCAGUAUUCUAUUUCAAUUACCAUUAAUUAGUAGAAGGUAUUUCCGAUUUUGUUUUAGUUCUAUUUCAUUCCAAUCUAAAUUUGCAUCUUAGUAUCUUAAUAAAGCCCUUCUAUCUGAUUUUGUUUUGUACUUUAUUCACACAGGAAUUCUCCCUUACUAAACACCAAGGUUUUCUGGGAUUCUGCCAUCAGCUUGGAAAUAUGUAUUGCAAAAUGGGGGAGAGGUAUAACUUCUUUGUUGAUGAGAUUUUUUUCCCUUUUUUCUGCUUUUCCACUUAAUUUUUUUUGACUAAUUACAUGACAUUGUAAAUGCUGUUGGCCUAGACCCUUACUACUGGCAACUGGUAUGUCAAGCAGUUCAGGAUGCAGAGAAAGGGCAUAUAUCCAGGUUGUUCUCUUUCUUAUUCUCUCUCUUCUCACUUGUAUUGAUUUAAAAUGUGAUCUUUCAAAUUAAGGUCUUUGUAAGUAAGUUGUUGAAGGUAAAAUCCCCUAAUUGGGGCACAUGAUGAUUGUAACCUAGCCAGGUAAGGUGAUAUUUUAUUACUGUCUUUCUAGCUUUCACAUUUGCAUAUUUCUAUAUGGUUGCUUAGGCUUCUGCACCAGAAUUCUUUUGACUUAGUGCUACAUAAUUUUUUUUUAUUUUUAUCAUACUGUUUGCUACAAUGGGCAUGCUCUGCCCAUGUGAUACCAGAAGGUGAAGGUUGUGGAUUAGUAAAAGACUUGACCCUGAUGAUUCAUGUUACAAACUGAUGAAGAAGAGAGUCCACUAAUAUCUCUAGUUAGUCUUUGUAAAAUAAUUACUUAGGCCCUCUUCCAUAAUCAGUUUGUAUUUGGAGUCUCAUUUGUAUUUGGAGGCUCACUUCGUGUAGCAUUAAUCUGCCCAAUCUAAUAGGGAUAAAAGGCCGUCUUUCAUAAUCAGUUUAGGGUUGAAGAGAGGGCAAUUAUUGGUUCAAUCAACAUAGGGAAAUGAGAUUGAACCUCAUGCCCUCCACUUCCCACCUUUUCUUUUAUUUUUUAUUUUUUUUCUCUUUAUAUUGAACCUCAUGACCCUCUAGAAAUGCCUCUGAGAAUCAUGGCAAGAAAUUGGUGAAUUGUAAAGAAUAUUUGUGAUGGUAGGAAUGUUAAGAUUGUAGAAUUAAAAAAAUAAUCUGAUGAAUUUACAGAAGACGGAUUUGAUAAGGGGUGAAAUAAUUUCUGUAAGGGAAGGAAAUUGCCUAACCUUGAGAGGGAAGAGUGGAUCCUUUCCAUGCUAUGAGGAGUUUGAAAAGAGGGAAGAGUUAAAGAAACUGAAUUGACAACCCUUGGAUCCUCUUAAUCUGUAGAAUUUAAGGAGUAUGCAAGGCAAAAGUUAUUGAAUAGCAGGACGUGUAUUCUUUUGGACUUGAUAACAAUGAGAAGAAUUUUAGUGGAGGUAGAAUCAAUUAGGCCUGCCCAUGUGGCAUCUCCAGCAUUGCUUUGACUCUAAAGCUUUUUCAGAUUCUUCCUACUUCUUUUCCAUUCUUUGUCAUGUGUUUGGCUGCACCUGCAUGUUCUUUGUCGAUAUACAUGACAAAUAGUUAUGUUACUAGUGCUUUUCAUUUAGUGCUCCAAUUUAUAUAUAUACAUAUAUAAUCAGAAUUUAUUCCUUGAAUAUUAAUCUAUAAAGAAUCCAUAUACCCUUGAUUUUCACUUCUCUUUGCAUUCCGUACUUAUGCAAUCUGUAAUUAUUGUUGCAUUAGGGUUAUUCUUCAGGUGUUGAAGACAUGGAUGAGGUUCAUACACCAGAUUCUGACUAUAUUAAAUAAGCUAAAUCUUGGCAAGCAUAGGGGGCCACAAGUAAAUAGUUUUUCUUUCCAUUAAGAUGGUAUACACAAACACAUAUUUAUGUGUUGGUGUCUGAUUUUAUAAUUUUCCACUCCUUAUGUUAUAUAAUUUAUUUCCAGAUUAGCAUUUCACAAAUGCAUUGAUGAAGUUACAGAGAGCUGGUAUAAUAGGGGAGUUUGUAAGUAUUUUUGUAAAUGAGUUGGUAAAUUCUUGUCUCCUAAUUGUACUUUGUCUUAGUUUACUUUCUGUUUCUUAUCUUCUUUUUUGCUUCACAUUUGGUCAAUGGAGAAUAUCCUAUUGCAGUCCUUUUCCACAUAAAAGAAUUGCGAUGGUGUAAGGCCGAAUGAGUCCCAAGCUUCAACCCUUAUUGCAAGAAGAAUAGAGAAAGGACAUAUUCAUCCAUUGAAAGAUUCAUAUUUUCUUUUAAUAGGAGAAUGAGCAGAGAUCAUGUUUCCCUCCUUAUAUGACAAAUUUUGCUUCUACACCUUUGCUAAAUUUGAAAAAAACAAAAUUUUUUAAUUUUUUUAUAAUAAUUGUAAACUAAUUUCCCCAUUAUAUAGUGUGUAGCAUGGCUUAAAAGGUUCCAUUCUUGUGAAGUGAAAGAAAUACGAUCACCUUUUGCACUAUUCUUCAUUGAUUUUGGAGUAAUGCAUUAUAUAAAGUUUCAUCAAUGUUUCCAUGAUAUUUUAUGGUGAAUCACAUCCUUAAGACACAAAAAAGUAUGAUUUUAUUAUUAUUAUUAUUAUUAUUUAAUUUGUUCUGUUUUUGAUAUGAUAUGAGUUUUUUCUACUCAUUUUCCCCCUUUUUGUUUGGUAUGGGCAGGUGGUCUUAAUAGGGGUUCAAAGAUGUCUCUUAUUGGCUUUCUAGAAGGUGAGCUACCCACAUUGACCCACCACCAACACUUGCAAGAGUUGUAAUGGGGAGAUGUCAUAUUCUAAAAGAGAGGUGCCUCAAUGACAAAGGAAAAUAUUAGCCUAAGAUUGCUCACAUCCCCUAUAUGGAAGUAGAUGACAUUAUAAAACUACAACAAGUUCAACCAGGUACUCCUAAUAUAUGGAAAUAGUUGUGCCCUUGAGUACCUGAAAAUUAAAGAUUGUCCAUCUCUUAUUGGCUUUCCGAAAGGGGAGCUACCCGCCACCCUUAAGAAGCUGAUAAUUUUAAAUUGUGAGAAGCUAGAGUCUCUACCUGAGGGAAUUGACAACAACAACACUUGUCAUCUUGAAUAUCUACAUGUAUGGGGAUGUCCAUCUCUCAAGUCCAUUCCAAGAGGUUACUUUCCCUCAACACUUGAGACCCUUUCCAUUUGGGACUGCCAGCAAUUGGAGUCGAUUCCAGGGAAUAUGCAGCAAAAUCUCACAUCUCUUCAAGUUUUGCAAAUAUGUAAUUGUCGAGAUGUGUUGUCCUCUCCAGAAGCGUUUUUGAACCCUAACCUUGAAGAACUUUGUAUUUCAGAUUGUGAGAAUAUGAGGUGGCCUCUAUCUGGGUGGGGCCUCCACACACUCACCUCUCUUGAUAAGCUCAUGAUUCAGGGCCCAUUCCCAGAUCUGAUUUCUUUUCCCAGCUAUCACCUUCUUCUUCCUACAUCUAUCACAUGUCUCCGGUUGGUAAAUCUCUACAACUUGAAAUCCAUAGCCUCCAUAAGUCUCCGAAGCCUCAUCUCUCUUAAAAGCCUUGAAC